Molecule: long non-coding RNA, 359 nt
Organism: Phyllopteryx taeniolatus (common seadragon)
Lineage: Eukaryota; Metazoa; Chordata; Actinopteri; Syngnathiformes; Syngnathidae
Exons: 3
Source: RefSeq, a predicted model, not a curated record
CCCCGCCUCCUCCCCAUUGAUAGCUGAGAUAGGCUCCAGCACUCCCGCAACCCUUGUGAGGAUAAGCGGCUCAGAAAAUGGAUGGAUGGAUGGACUUGUCAAGCCCUUCUCUAUGGCAUCCAAUCGUAAUGAAGGCGUAAAAAGGAAGCGCGCUAACCUCAUGGCUCAUGAAAGCGACCCUCGGCUCACCAUCACAACAACUGUCUACUACCAGCAUGUCAUUAUCACCCCAACCAAGCACCAACAAGAUUCCCGUACCACUCCUCACCUGUACUCCUGCUUUCCUGUCUCGUCUUCUGCCUGCCAGAAUCCCGCACAUCGAAACUACUAAUCUUCAACCCUUCGAAGAUCCGACCCAC